This is a non-coding RNA of Moraxella nonliquefaciens, 375 nucleotides long. It matches the Rfam family "Bacterial RNase P class A". From Rfam's summary of the family: Ribonuclease P (RNase P) is a ubiquitous endoribonuclease, found in archaea, bacteria and eukarya as well as chloroplasts and mitochondria. Its best characterised activity is the generation of mature 5'-ends of tRNAs by cleaving the 5'-leader elements of precursor-tRNAs. Lineage: Bacteria; Pseudomonadati; Pseudomonadota; Gammaproteobacteria; Moraxellales; Moraxellaceae. The record is from Rfam.
AUGGCAGACCAGACAAUCGCCGUUUACUUUGGUAAAGGGAGGAAAGUCCGGACUACACAGGGCGACGUGCUAGCUAACGGCUAGGGGGCGAGAGCCUACGACCAGUGCAACAGAGAAUAGACCGCCCAACCACUCAAUCAAGUGUUUAAAAAUAUUCGGUUGAGUGGUUGGGUAAGGGUGAAACGGUGAGGUAAGAGCUCACCGCAUGGCUGGCGACAGUCAUGGCAAGGUAAACUCCACGUGUAGCAAAACCAAAUAGGUAUCCAAUGAGUUGCCCGCUUAGGAUACGGGUAGGUUGCUUGAACGUACAAGCGAUUGUGCGUCUAGAUGAAUGAUUGUCCAUGACAGAAUCCGGCUUAUCGGUUUGCCAUUAUU